UAUAUUUCAUCUCACGCUUUACAGUCUCUCACACACCUGAUUAUAUAUCUUGUAGUAUUCACAAUACAACAUGAUGUGGACUAAUGGUGGAUCAAUGAUUCCAAGUCUAUUACUAUUUCUUUUCAUUACAGAUGUGCGGUGUGAUUCUCAGGUGUCACAGGAGUCUGAUCUUCAGAUUACAGAAAACCAAGAUAUCACCCUGAACUGUUCUCACAAAAUAUCAACCUAUGACCUUCUGAUCUGGUACAAGCAAAUCCCUGGACACGGCCUAAAGAUCUGUUCUCAUGGUGUGACCACAGUUACACACCAGGAUCCCAGAUACUCAAUGACUAUAGACAGAAAAUCUCUCACUACACAGCUUCAUAUAAAGAAUGUGAAGGGGGAAGACACAGCCGUGUAUUACUGUGCAGUGAGUGACACAGUGACAGUGACAGACUGCAGAUUUGUACAAGAACCACCCACCAAGCACAGAUACAAAUGA
This is a non-coding RNA of Hyla sarda, 481 nucleotides long. The record is from the annotation of a RefSeq genome assembly. Lineage: Eukaryota; Metazoa; Chordata; Amphibia; Anura; Hylidae.